This 355-nucleotide ribosomal RNA is filed under the name uncultured bacterium. RNAcentral's name for it is "partial 16S ribosomal RNA". It matches the Rfam family "Bacterial small subunit ribosomal RNA", at positions 527 to 881 of the family's 1533-position model. The record is from RNAcentral.
GUAGGGAGCGAGCGUUGUCCGGAAUUACUGGGUGUAAAGGGAGCGUAGGCGGGAUGGCAAGUCAGAUGUGAAAACUAUGGGCUCAACCCAUAGACUGCAUUUGAAACUGUUGUUCUUGAGUGAGGUAGAGGUAAGCGGNAUUCCUGGUGUAGCGGUGAAAUGCGUAGAGAUCAGGAGGAACAUCGGUGGCGNAGGCGGCUUACUGGGCCUUUACUGACGCUGAGGCUCGANAGCGUGGGGAGCANACAGGAUUAGAUACCCUGGUAGUCCACGCCGUANACGAUGAUUACUAGGUGUGGGGGGACUGACCCCUUCCGUGCCGCNGUUAACACAAUNAGUNAUCCACCAGGGGAGU